RNAcentral lists this ribosomal RNA (253 nucleotides) under uncultured bacterium. RNAcentral's name for it is "partial 16S ribosomal RNA". It matches the Rfam family "Bacterial small subunit ribosomal RNA", at positions 524 to 776 of the family's 1533-position model. The record is from RNAcentral.
UACGGAGGGGGCUAGCGUUGUUCGGAAUUACUGGGCGUAAAGCGCACGUAGGCGGCUUUGUAAGUUAGAGGUGAAAGCCCGGGGCUCAACUCCGGAAUUGCCUUUAAGACUGCAUCGCUAGAAUUGUGGAGAGGUAAGUGGAAUUCCGAGUGUAGAGGUGAAAUUCGUAGAUAUUCGGAAGAACACCAGUGGCGAAGGCGACUUACUGGACACAUAUUGACGCUGAGAUGCGAAAGCGUGGGGAGCAAACAGG